CUAGUGAUAAUAGCGAAAGUGAAACACUCGACUCCAUUCCGAACUCGAAAGUGAAACCUUUUUGCGCCGAUGGUACUGCUUGUGUGGGAGAGUAGGUGGUUGCUAGGUCC
This 110-nucleotide ribosomal RNA is filed under the name Ehrlichia sennetsu str. Miyayama. The record is from RNAcentral. Lineage: Bacteria; Pseudomonadati; Pseudomonadota; Alphaproteobacteria; Rickettsiales; Anaplasmataceae.